This 439-nucleotide ribosomal RNA is filed under the name uncultured bacterium. Its description in RNAcentral is "bacterial SSU rRNA". It matches the Rfam family "Bacterial small subunit ribosomal RNA", at positions 959 to 1397 of the family's 1533-position model. The record is from RNAcentral.
ACGCGAGGAACCUUACCAGGUCUUGACAUCCUCUGACACUCCUAGAGAUAGGACGUUCCCCUUCGGGGGACAGAGUGACAGGUGGUGCAUGGUUGUCGUCAGCUCGUGUCGUGAGAUGUUGGGUUAAGUCCCGCAACGAGCGCAACCCUUGAUCUUAGUUGCCAGCAUUUAGUUGGGCACUCUAAGGUGACUGCCGGUGACAAACCGGAGGAAGGUGGGGAUGACGUCAAAUCAUCAUGCCCCUUAUGACCUGGGCUACACACGUGCUACAAUGGAUGGUACAAAGGGCAGCAAAGCGGUGACGCCUAGCGAAUCCCAUAAAACCAUUCUCAGUUCGGAUUGUAGGCUGCAACUCGCCUACAUGAAGCUGGAAUCGCUAGUAAUCGCGGAUCAGCAUGCCGCGGUGAAUACGUUCCCGGGCCUUGCACACACCGCCCGU